This is a long non-coding RNA of Labeo rohita (rohu), 428 nucleotides long. RefSeq lists it as uncharacterized. The record is from RefSeq and is a predicted model, not a curated record. The transcript has 5 exons. Lineage: Eukaryota; Metazoa; Chordata; Actinopteri; Cypriniformes; Cyprinidae.
CUUCGAUGGUUUGUAGCAGCGCUAUAAAUACCGGCGCGCUAGGGCAUGCUUUCUCUCAUUUUUGCCAUGUUGCGGUGGAAGUGCGAUAGAUCAUAUAAGAAUGAGAAAGUUAGGCGGCUACAUGAAGGUGGCUGAAUAUGGUCUGAAUUUACUCCUGAUGGAGACUUUACAACUACUGUAGCUACGAUGUAACACAAGACCCCAAGAUACCUUGAUCCCAAUGGCUAGUUGUGUUGAGAGGACUAGGUAAAUGAAUGUACAAAGAUUUUAAAGGUCCAUCGAGUUCAUCCUAGUGCGGAGUGAAAACCCUAAACUCUGCAGGACCGUGUCUGUCUAGGACCAGGAAUGAGGAGCCCCGACCUAGAAAAGUCCAGAGACAUGGGACGUCUGAAUGCUGAAUGUUAAUGCUCUGGGUUUUUUUUUUUUUU